GCGGGCGCUGCCCGGGGCCGAGGGGCGCCGAGCCCUGCUCACCGCCGCCUUGAGGGGCCGGGGCACCCCGCCCGGGCCAGCGCGCCUCGAGCCACCGGGGCGACGCUGGGACCGUGGUCAGCAGGGUGCCCUUCCCCGACGGGGACGGAACCCCGACGGCGUCCGGGCCGGAAGGGCGGGCGCCCCGGACCGCGAACCUCCCCGCCGGGCAGUUUAGCAGGAGAGGCCUCCCAGGGCCGUUCACACAGGCCCGCGGUUCGCUUAGCAACUCGCGCAUUUUGGAAAAAGAAGUGUCCCACGCCUCGUCCCAGCGGAGGCGGGGGAGCGCGUGCGCCCUCGCGGGGAGGCCGGGGUGCCCCCCGGCGGCAGCCCCGGACCUGCGGGCCCUGCGACGGCCCCGGGGAGGCUUCGUGUGGCCGCCCCUGCGCGUGCGCGUCACACGGCUCGCGGGUGGCGACCCCCGACGCGCACCGCCCGGGAGACUGUUCUCGCCCUCGAGAGGGAGGACCACGCAGGGCCCUCCGCGUGGAUGCUGCUGUCACGUGUUUGUUGACUCGGGGAGAAUCGGAUGCUGGGCCUGCGAAUGUGUCUCCCUGAGAGGCUCUUUCAGAAAUGCACGGGCGCGGUGCUGAGACACCUGGGAUUGGCUGUCACACGAUGCGCUGAGCGAGGGGACGCACGGGGCCCGCAGCUCGUCGUCCUUGGAGCUGGUGAUGGCCCCACGGCGCUACCCCGUCCUCCUCUUGGACGCAUUUGCGCUUCCCUUUAAAAAGUCUUCAUAACAUUCACACCCAGUUCCGGGGAAAGACUUCGAAAUUUGCUACGGUUCUCCCAGCCGUUAGUCUCGCCCUAUCUUUCUUGAUGCUGAAAAAGUUCUUUAAAAAAACGCAGUCAUCUAGAUCACCCUGCAGAUGAGCUUGGCAUUAAAUUCCCGGGAUCACUAAGCUCUACCCGCUUAGACCCGGGCAGGAGAGGCCCCUGUCCUGGACCCCACGCUUUGAAGGACCUUACAUACCGCAAAUACAUCGAUUUAUUAAAAACACGGGGGCCUCGGCCACUCCUGGUCUGAUGCUGAACCCUGGCCCACAGCCAUAAGUGCCCUCUCCCUGGACCAACACUGUCCCGGCCGCUGGGAAACACUUCUUCAUGUCUCUUGUCCUUUGUCUUCAAAACAAAAGGUGGAACCCGGAAGCAGUGAGGAUCUGUGGGUGGGACAGCUGGCCUGGGCAGACAGAGGCUGCUGUGGAGUCCGGGUGGGAUUUGAGCAGCAAAGCGCUUAAAUAGGUAAGAGGAACACGGUGAGAGGCAGAGAAGAAGCUCCUAUAAACCUCUCCAGUUUCCUGCUGAUUUCUUCAGGGGGCGGCGUCCUGUGUCAGAGCAGUACUCCUCUGUGCUCAUCUUGCACUUGGCCAAAACAAGGGGUGAAGAAGCUAAGCUCGGUUAAAAGGCAGAAGAGAAACAGGCAGAUCCCUGAAGUCCGCUGUUCUCCUGUUUUCCCCUACCCGAUAGCAGCAUAUUAAAAGCAUAAGCUUCCUGCAAAACUGAAAGAGAAGCCAAAGCUUUGCAGAUGGUACCCAGGCAGAGGGCCAGGAGGUAGAAACAGGCUCAUCAAGCCCCAGAGGGGAGCUAAGUCGCGCCGUCCACACGCUCCAGGUUCAGCGCUGCUGGUGAGGCGCCCCUUCCUUCCUUCUCUCCUGAGAAACCGGGCCUGCCUCCUCCCUGACGGGGCAUCAUUGCUUCCUCCACAACCAGGCGUGCUUGCCCGAGGACUCGCCGACCUCGCUGUCUGUCAGAGAAGCACAAAGACACCUGGCAGAAGAAACAGACAACCAGAUCAGCCUGUAGACGUGACUGCAGUGUUCUCUACCGAAUCCUUAAGAAUUCUGACAACUCUUUGUGGGGAGACAGCUGGCUGGAUCCAAAGGGGAUGAAGUGUUACGUGUCCUUCUUUCUUCACUCUUCAAAACACAUCAUCUCCUACUUUUCAGUUUAUCUGUGGGCUCCCAUAAUGGGAAAAAAAGUAUGUAUUUGUCUACGGGUAUAGAUCCCCAUUCACCCUUCAACAGUGUUGGCACCGCUUUAGAUGUGUGAUAUACAGCAGUGAAGAAAACAGGUAAAUCCUGCCCUCCAAAGUCUUACAACGCAGUAGGAAUCAUUUGAUGUUGGUGGUGGUGCCAUGCAGUGGAUUCCGACUCCUAGCGCUCCAGCGCACAGCAUAGCAGACCCCUGCCCGGUCUUUCUCUGCCAUCCUCUCUCCUUCCGGCGCUGUACCAGACAACGCUCUGCUGCUAUUCACAGGGCUCUCAUGGCCAAUUUUUUCGGAAGUGGGUGGCCAGGUCCUCCUUCCUGGUCUGUCUUAGUCUGGAAGCUCCGCAGAGACCUGUCCACUGUGGGCGACCCUGCUGGUAUUUGAAAUACUGGUGGCUCAGCUUUCAGCAUCACAGCCACACGCAGUCACCGCAGUAUGACAAUCGUCAGACAGGGCUGACGACAGGGCUAGACUCCCAGUGCUGGUUAGUGGGAAUAAUAAUAGGCAAAAAUAAAAUAAACAGGUAGAUCUAUAGUUGAUGUAUGUCAGUAGAUGUAUAUUCAGUGCUAAGUGUUGUAUUAAAUAAAUAAAGCAGGGCAAGGGCAGUAUACAUUGUAUUUAAAAGUAGCAGAUGAGAGACGGUACAGAAUAUGGCUCUGGAGUUGACCUGGCUUUGACACUCAGGAGCUCCAUGACCUUGGUGAAGUUACUUGAACUUUUGUGGGCCUCAAUUUGCACCUCUGUAAAAUGGGGAUAACAAUAGCUCCUGCCUCAAAGGGCCGUUGUGAGGAUUAAAUGAUUGAAAAUAUGGAGAGCUGUUAGAACAGUGCCUGGCAUACAGUAAAUUCGAUGAACAUAAGCUAUGAACAUCGUUAAGAGGAGCAGAGAGUGACGGAGGGGUGCUACUUCAGACAGAACGUUCCAAGAAGGCCUGUGUGAGCUGGCAAAUGAAGUCAUGGAGAGAACCCGCGGCGUCUGGAGGAAGAAGCAGCAGGCAGGAGAGGCGAGCCCAAAGCACGGCAGCAGGGCUGGUGCGGGGUGAGCAGCAUGAGUGGGUGGGAGUGGCAGGAAAGGAGGUCACUGCCAGGCCCAGGUCAGCUGGGGCCGCCAAACUUCAGGUGUCGCUCUGCUGAGAAGACAGCAGAGGGCUUUGCGCGGAGGAGCUCACGACCUAAGGUUUAGAAAGCCCACCAUCCUAGCUGCUGCGUGGAGAACAAAGGACAGAGGGGCACGGCAGCGCACACCACUGCACAGCGGUCAACACAUUAAUAAGUAGGAAAACACAAGGUGCAACGGAAUGUUUGGUCCAUUUCCAUUUGCAUAAAAAGAAGAAAACUAUAAAUACAUGUGUGUUGAACUUAAAACUUUACCAACUGGAAAGUAAACAAACUUUAAAAGGAAAGAAAUGAAUCAGAAUCAUUUUACCCAGACAUUAAAAAAUGGUGGUGGAAGUGGAGUUGGGGGACACAGCGGCGACCAGAGGUGCUGAAACGGACGGGAUGCUUGGCGGGGACACAGUGUCAGCACCGAAGGGGCGACAGGUGUCUGCUCAAAGCAAAACUGAACUAAAGUGUCUUCCUGUUGCCUCUUCUACGUCAGCAACCGUUUGACCAGUGUCAGUUUUAUACAGUUAUUGUGUCGCACUUUCCUUCCACGAUUUUAUAGGGUUGUUCUACUGUCUGCUAGCAGCAAAUAUCCCGUGGAGAAGUCUGAAGCUAGCCUGAAUGGAUUUUCCUUUUUUAUAUCAUUUUUUCAACCUGCUUGUCCAAAAGUUAUUUGUUUUUCUUUGAAGGCAAAUAAAUGUAUUACAAUAUAUCUUGUUACAGAUGUUCCACAUUCAUUUUUUUCUGUGACCCUGUUAGGAUAGGCUAAACCGUUGGGAUAGAUCCCAAAUGAAAGGGUUCCAAGAAGACAGAGGUCUGAGGACCCCUGUUCUCCGCACAGACAUCCAGGGACUUGAGCCACUUGCCCCGCACUCUGGAAGAAGGAG
This is a long non-coding RNA of Equus caballus (horse), 4019 nucleotides long. Lineage: Eukaryota; Metazoa; Chordata; Mammalia; Perissodactyla; Equidae. The record is from Ensembl.